GGAACUGCCGGUGACAAACCGGAGGAAGGUGGGAUGACGUCAAUCAUCAUGCCCCUUAUGACCUGGGCUACACACGUGCUACAAUGGUUGGUACAACGAGUUGCGAGUCGGUGACGGCGAGCUAAUCUACUUAAAGCCAAUCUCAGUUCGGAUUGUAGGCUGCAACUCGCCUACAUGAAGUCGGAAUCGCUAGUAAUCGCGGAUCAGCACGCCGCGGUGAAUACGUUCCCGGGCCUU
This 237-nucleotide ribosomal RNA is filed under the name uncultured Streptococcus sp. Its description in RNAcentral is "partial 16S ribosomal RNA". It matches the Rfam family "Bacterial small subunit ribosomal RNA", at positions 1145 to 1382 of the family's 1533-position model. The record is from RNAcentral. Lineage: Bacteria; Bacillati; Bacillota; Bacilli; Lactobacillales; Streptococcaceae.